GAGUUUGAUCAUGGCUCAGAUUGAACGCUGGCGGCAUGCCUUACACAUGCAAGUCGAACGGCAGCACGGGAGCUUGCUCCUGGUGGCGAGUGGCGAACGGGUGAGUAAUGCAUCGGAACGUAUCCUGGAGUGGGGGAUAACGUAGCGAAAGUUACGCUAAUACCGCAUAUUCUGUGAGCAGGAAAGCGGGGGACCUUCGGGCCUCGCGCUCUUGGAGCGGCCGAUGUCGGAUUAGCUAGUUGGUGAGGUAAAGGCUCACCAAGGCGACGAUCCGUAGCAGGUCUGAGAGGAUGAUCUGCCACACUGGAACUGAGACACGGUCCAGACUCCUACGGGAGGCAGCAGUGGGAAUUUUGGACAAUGGGGGCAACCCUGAUCCAGCCAUGCCGCGUGAGUGAAGAGGGCCUCGGUU
This 412-nucleotide ribosomal RNA is filed under the name bacterium enrichment culture clone ALO1_GLFRUDD03G8U3Y. RNAcentral describes it as "bacterial SSU rRNA". It matches the Rfam family "Bacterial small subunit ribosomal RNA", at positions 9 to 424 of the family's 1533-position model. The record is from RNAcentral.